RNAcentral lists this long non-coding RNA (575 nucleotides) under Nicotiana benthamiana. Its description in RNAcentral is "long non-coding RNA (NBEN_LNC036220)". Lineage: Eukaryota; Viridiplantae; Streptophyta; Magnoliopsida; Solanales; Solanaceae. The record is from RNAcentral.
UAUGGAUUCAGGUUAGCUUCCGCUCAUGUAGUUUAUAUAUCCGAAUUAUUCAAUAUGAAGGUUGUUGUCUUUAGUAGGAAUCAUAAUCCUAACAGUAAUGACCCGAUUGAUUGUUUCUAUCUCUAGCGCGUUGUUCGGCGGUUUAAGUCGUGAACAGCUUCACUGCAGGUAUUAUGAUUUAUACUCGUGGUCGAAAUUGAAUUUCGGAAGUUCAGUGUUGAUUUGGAAAGAAAUUCUCAUUUCGGAAGCUUUAAGUUGGAAGAAUUGACUAAAGUAUUAUUUUUGAGUAAAUGACUUCAGAAUCGAGAUUUGAAGGUUCCAACAUGUUCAUAUGAUGAUAUUGAACUUGGGGUAUGCCUAAAUUGGGUUUUACAUGACCUGGGAGCGUUUCGGCGCCUGUUGUGAAAGUUAGCAUUUUGAAAAAAUUUCAUAAAUUUGAAUUGUUACAUCCCGUGCUUUAAUAUUAUGAUAAGUCGCAGUAAACCAUAUGAGAUUGAAGGGAUUAAAACUAUUCAUGAGAUUUUAGAGGAUUUGUGGCUAUGUUAUUGUAAGACCCCGGAAGUUUAACAACCUUG